Molecule: ribosomal RNA, 253 nt
Filed under: uncultured bacterium
Lineage: Bacteria
Description: partial 16S ribosomal RNA
Rfam family: Bacterial small subunit ribosomal RNA
Source: RNAcentral
UACGUAGGGUGCGAGCGUUGUCCGGAUUUACUGGGCGUAAAGAGCUCGUAGGUGGCUUGUCGCGUCGUCUGUGAAAGUCUGGGGCUUAACUCCGGGUGUGCAGGCGAUACGGGCUGGCUUGAGUGCUGUAGGGGAGACUGGAAUUCCUGGUGUAGCGGUGGAAUGCGCAGAUAUCAGGAGGAACACCGAUGGCGAAGGCAGGUCUCUGGGCAGUCACUGACGCUGAGGAGCGAGAGCAUGGGUAGCGAACAGG